AAGUCUCAAUUGCUUAAUCUAUAAAAUGGAGUACUAAGAAAUUCUAACUUGCCUAGUGGCUAAGAGAAUUUAGUAAGAUCAGAGUUAAUAAAGUGCCACUUGGUAGUAUUAUCAUUUGUUUUCAAGAAGGAUAAAUAAUAGCAGGGAAUAUAUUUUCUAACACGAAUGACAAUUUCUUUUUAAUUAUCUGAAAGGUAAACUGGACAUAGAAAUCACAUAUGUGAGGUACAUUUUAUGAAGAAAACUGAAAAUAAGCUCAUCUAUCAGCCAUUCAAAUCUGGAAGCCUAACUGUCAUAUAUUCAAGAAUGAAAGGCAACUCCUUCUAUUUUUGAAAGCCACAAAUGAAUAAACUCGCUCUCUACAAAGUUUUGAAAUGGAAUUUCCAAAUAUGCACAAGAUCUUUUUUCAAACCAGUGUCUAGCAUGGAAUUGUUAUCAAAAAAUUUGUAACAAUAAGGACUUUUUUUUUUCCUUACUGGAAGGAUCUUGUCUCUGGUAAGUUAGCUUGGAUUUAAGUUUGUACUAAAUUGGCAAGCAUUGAUAUUUCUUUAUAAAAGUUCUUGUAUGUGUGCAUUUUUACCCCCAAAUGAAUUUGCAUGCCUUGAAACAAAAUCCCUCGCAUUUAUUUAUGAUAAAACUCUCUUGAGUUAAUUAUAGCAUUUCAGAUGUGGAAAGUGUGUGCACACUGCUUACUGACAGGUUGACUAGUGAAACUGAACACUGAAAUUACUCUAAUGAGCAGAAAGAAUACUCAAGAUAAAUGAUUGGAUGCCGGAACUUUCUAAAUUUUCUUGAAAAAGUCAAAGGGUGCCAAACCUGGGGAAACCUGUGAAAGAAGUGAUUAUCACUAUUUGUAUAGAACAACACACACACACACACACACACACACACACACACACACAAGAUAAUAUAGAUCUGUGCUGUCCAGUAAGUAGUCAGUAGCCAUACACAGUUAUUUAAACUUGAAUUAAUGAAAAUUUAAUUUAAAUAUAAAUUUCUUACCUGCACAAACAAAAUUGUAAGUGCUAAGUAGCCUCAUGUGGUUAGGGCUGCCAUAUUUGACAGUGCUAAUCAGUAAUAGUUCCACUAUCACAGAAAUCUCUAUUGAACAACAGUAAUAUAGAAACAUUUGAACACUCUUUAAGCCAGGAAUCUCCUCCCCAA
RNAcentral lists this long non-coding RNA (1164 nucleotides) under Felis catus (domestic cat). RNAcentral's name for it is "lncRNA (ENSFCAG00000053597.1)". Lineage: Eukaryota; Metazoa; Chordata; Mammalia; Carnivora; Felidae. The record is from RNAcentral.